RNAcentral lists this transfer RNA (84 nucleotides) under compost metagenome. RNAcentral's name for it is "tRNA-Ser". It matches the Rfam family "tRNA". From Rfam's summary of the family: Transfer RNA (tRNA) molecules are approximately 80 nucleotides in length. Their secondary structure includes four short double-helical elements and three loops (D, anti-codon, and T loops). Further hydrogen bonds mediate the characteristic L-shaped molecular structure. tRNAs have two regions of fundamental functional importance: the anti-codon, which is responsible for specific mRNA codon recognition, and the 3' end, to which the tRNAs corresponding amino acid is attached (by aminoacyl-tRNA synthetases). tRNAs cope with the degeneracy of the genetic code in two manners: having more than one tRNA (with a specific anti-codon) for a particular amino acid; and 'wobble' base-pairing, i.e. permitting non-standard base-pairing at the 3rd anti-codon position. The record is from RNAcentral.
AUUCAGAUGGCUGAGUGGUCAAAAGCGCUGGCUUUGAAUUCCAGUUUAUUUUUAUAAGCGAAGGUUCAAAUCCUUCUCUGUUCU